RNAcentral lists this long non-coding RNA (216 nucleotides) under Carica papaya (papaya). RNAcentral's name for it is "long non-coding RNA (CPAP_LNC002435)". The record is from RNAcentral. Lineage: Eukaryota; Viridiplantae; Streptophyta; Magnoliopsida; Brassicales; Caricaceae.
UGCUUAAAUUCGUUCAUGCAAUCGGUCUAAAUAGGUAACGAUCGAACAAAUCUCCUCGCUCUAAAGUGAUGCAGAUGGACAUCUCAGAUUAGAAGGAAGAAAGGUAUUUAAACAUCUCUUUAGUCGGCCCCAAACCCUAGCUAACACCCAGUUGGAGAAGAAGAAGAAGGAAGUGGCAAGAGAGAAGACUAGCCGCUGGAGGGACACCGCUGCCGU